UUUUUUUUUUUUUUUUUGAGACAGAGUCUUGCUAUGUUGCCCAGGCUAGAGUGCAGUGUCAUGAUCUUGGCUCACUCCAACUUCUGCCUCCUGGGUUCAAUCAAUUCUCCUGCUUCAGCCUCCUGAGUAGCUGGGAUUACAGGCACCCACCACCAUGCCUGGCUAAUUUUUUGUAUUUUUAGUAGAGACAGGGUUUUGCCAUGUUGGCCAGGUUGGUCUUGAAUUCCUGACCUCAGGUGAUCCGCCCGCUUUGACCUCAGGUGCGAGCCACUGAGCCCAGCCUUUGCAGCUUUCCUUGUCUCAAUUGGUUAGCACCUCCAGCUGUUCCAGUGGCUCAGGCCGAAACCCUUGGAGUCAUCUUAGGCCCUUUCUCCUCAUAUCCUACAGGAAUUCCUGUUUGCUCCACCUUCUCCACCUCCUUGGCUCAAGCCAUUCUCCUGCCUCAGCCUCCUCCUGAGUAGCUGGGACUACAAGUUGCAUGCCAGCAUGCCUGGCUAAUUUUUCUUUUUCUUUUUCUUUUUUUUGUAGAAAUGAGGUCUCGCUAUGUUGCCCUGGCUGGUCUGAGCUCCUGGGCUCAAGCAAUCCUCCCACCUUGGCCUCCCAAAGUCCCGGGAUUACAGCUGUGAGCCAUCACAUCUGGCUACUCUAGCUUGAGCGAGGAAAGUUCAUUGACCACUUCCACUGCUAACCCAUCUCUUCUGGAAUCUUGCCAUAGUCUCCUGAUAGGUCUCCCUGCUUCUCAAUCUAGCAGCCACAGUGGUCCUUGUCAAACGAAGUUAGAUCUUAUCACCCUAUGCCCCUGCAGUGGUGCUUCCUUUCAUGUGGGGUGAAAGCCUAUGUCCUCAGAAAAUGGUUCCUAAGCCCCACGUGUUUGUGCUGUGCCCUUACUCCUCUGUGAUCCCUGUCCCUCGCUCAGUUGCAGUCACGCUGGCCUCUCUUGCUCUAUGAACACACCAGGCACCCUCCUGCUUUAGGACCUUUGCCCUUCCUGCCUGUCUCCAUGGAAAGCUUUUCCUGUCUUGGCUAACUCCCUUGUUCUUUGUCUUAGUUCAAAUAAUCAACUUCUUGGUGAAAGUAGUAGACACGAUUCAAACCUGACCACCUUAAAAUUGCAACUCAGCGCCUCCUCAACCCUCCACUCCCAACCACCUUCACCCUGCUUUUGCGUAUCCUUUUGCCUUUUUUGCAUUAGCAUUCAUCAACUUGUAAUAUGCUGAUAAAUUACAUUUUAGUGGUUUUAAAAAUCUGUAUAUUUAUUUUUCAGUUAAAUGUAAGUUACAUGAGGCCGGGCGUGGUGGCUCACGCCUAUAAUCCCAGCACUUUGGGAAGCCAAGGCAGGUGGAUCACUUGAGGUCAGGAGUUCGUGACCAGCCUGUCUAAUAUGGUAAAACCCCGUCUCUACUAAUAUUACAAAAAUUAGCUGGUGUGGUGGUGCAUGCCUGUAAUCCCAGCUUCUUGGGAGGUUGAGGCAGGAGAAUCGCUUGAACUCGGGAGGCAGAGGUUGCAGUGAGCUGAGAUCAUGCCAUUGCCCUCCAGCCUGGGCAACAAGAGCGAAACUCCAUCUUAAAAAAAAAAAAGGUAAGUUACAUGAGGCCAGGGGUCUUUGGUUCAUUGGUACAUUCCAGAAAAAUAGGAUCAUUUCUAACAUAUUGCAGAUCAUCAACAAAUAAUUGUUAAACGAGUACACUUUUGGUAUUUUUAUAGUUUUUCUUUUCUUUUUUUUUGAGACAGAAUGUCGCUCUGUC
Macaca fascicularis (crab-eating macaque) is the source of this 1745-nucleotide long non-coding RNA. Lineage: Eukaryota; Metazoa; Chordata; Mammalia; Primates; Cercopithecidae. The record is from Ensembl.